Molecule: ribosomal RNA, 253 nt
Filed under: uncultured bacterium
Lineage: Bacteria
Description: partial 16S ribosomal RNA
Rfam family: Bacterial small subunit ribosomal RNA
Source: RNAcentral
UACGAAGGGGGCUAGCGUUGCUCGGAAUUACUGGGCGUAAAGGGCGCGUAGGCGGACAGUUAAGUCAGAGGUGAAAGCCCAGGGCUCAACCCUGGAAUUGCCUUUGAUACUGGCUGUCUUGAGUGCGGGAGAGGUGUGUGGAACUCCGAGUGUAGAGGUGAAAUUCGUAGAUAUUCGGAAGAACACCAGUGGCGAAGGCGACACACUGGCCCGUAACUGACGCUGAGGCGCGAAAGCGUGGGGAGCGAACAGG